Long non-coding RNA from Diabrotica virgifera virgifera (western corn rootworm), 896 nucleotides. RefSeq lists it as uncharacterized. The record is from RefSeq and is a predicted model, not a curated record. The transcript has 2 exons. Lineage: Eukaryota; Metazoa; Arthropoda; Insecta; Coleoptera; Chrysomelidae.
AAUAUUUGACAUGGCAUCGGGAAUAUUUUAAGUUGUUGAUUAAAUAAUAGGCCGUUCCAAGAUGCUGUCAAAAUUAAAUCAAUAUGGCUACUGGAAGGCAAACAUUGAAUAUUAUUCUAUCAGGUUCUUAUGGUUUUAGAUCAUUUUAGUUGUUGUACAAAGAUUAAUUUAACAUUUUCUCUGGAAGUAUUAAUUUAGAAAGAUAAUAUGCCUCAUUGGUGUUGUGUUUUGAAGUGUGAAAUGCAAAGUAAUCGUGAUAAAGUUAGCUUUUACCACUUGCCAUCAGUGCUACAUUCUAAGCACAAAACUGAACCAAUUUAACUAAAUAAGUUAUAGUUAUCAUCUGAGAGACAACAACAAUGGUAAAAUGCAAUAAAAUAUAAAGAUUUUACUAGCAAAAUGGAAAUUCCCCUGUAAUCAUCUUAUAUCUGGUAAGUUACAACAUUUGAACAUUAACGAUUUUUGAAGAUGUUAACAGUCUAAUCUUGUAGGAAAACCAGCCGACUUAACUGAUAAUAACAAUCCAGAUUGGGUUCCUUCAAUAAAUAUGGGGUAUAUAAACACAAUGAAAUGAGUUCCCCAAAAUCUAAAAUGGGAAUUAAGGUACCAAAGGAGAAUUAAAAGAAAAGGGUACCUACAAGAAAAAAUUGCUUUUUUAUUCCUCUUGAAAUGAUUUAUAAGACACUGGACUGUCUUAUAUUCUACAAAUACUAGAAUCAGCUGAGAGAAGUGGUCUACAAAAACCCAGGAAGGAAACGGAAUAUGUGGCUACGAAAGGCAAAAGAAAGGUUUACAAAGCAAAUGUGACACAUUUUUUUGAAAUAUUUAGGAAUAUCAGUAAAUUGCAUUAAAAAAAUGUAUGAAAAGAUUUUGUUCAAUAAAAAUGUUUAUAUUUA